RNAcentral lists this ribosomal RNA (492 nucleotides) under uncultured bacterium. Its description in RNAcentral is "partial 16S ribosomal RNA". It matches the Rfam family "Bacterial small subunit ribosomal RNA", at positions 29 to 507 of the family's 1533-position model. The record is from RNAcentral.
AGUGAACGCUGGCGGUAGGCCUAACACAUGCAAGUCGAACGGCAGCACAGUAAGAGCUUGCUCUUACGGGUGGCGAGUGGCGGACGGGUGAGGAAUACAUCGGAAUCUACUUUUUCGUGGGGGAUAACGUAGGGAAACUUACGCUAAUACCGCAUACGACCUACGGUUGAAAGCAGUGGAUCUUCGGACCUUGCGCGAUUGAAUGAGCCGAUGUCGGAUUAGCUAGUUGGGGGGGUAAAGGCCCACCAAGUCGGCGAUCCGUAGCCGGUCUGAGAGGAUGAUCAGCCACACUGGAACUGAGACACGGUCCAGACUCCUACGGGAGGCAGCAGUGGGGAAUAUUGGACAAUGGGCGCAAGCCUGAUCCAGCCAUACCGCGUGGGUGAAGAAGGCCUUCGGGUUGUAAAGCCCUUUUGUUGGGAAAGAAAAGCAGCAGGUUAAUACCCCGCUGUUCUGACGGUACCCAAAGAAUAAGCACCGGCUAACUUCGUG